GUAGGUAUGCCCUAAGAACACAAUAGAAAUUGAUUUAAACAGGAAGAACCUUCUUGACGAUCUCAUCGCUAAGAGUUGCAAUUUGAGCAUCAAGGGAUUUAAUGGUUUCCACUUUCUGAUUCUCCAAGUUCGCCAGUGCUUCCUGCAACUCCGCAUCAAUUUUCUUCCUUCCCUCCGCCAGUUUCUCCUCCACCUCCGCCUGAGUUUCCUUCUUCAUCUUCGUAAGCGCUGCCGAAAUCUCCGCUCUGGCAGCCCUCAUAACGGCGGCAGCUUGCUCGUCGAGCUGCUUG
Molecule: unclassified non-coding RNA, 290 nt
Filed under: Hevea brasiliensis (rubber tree)
Lineage: Eukaryota; Viridiplantae; Streptophyta; Magnoliopsida; Malpighiales; Euphorbiaceae
Source: RNAcentral